CAUAUUCAUUUGACGUUUAGCUGCAGAAGAAGCACCGGCUAACUCCGUGCCAGCAGCCGCGGUAAUACGGAGGGUGCGAGCGUUAAUCGGAAUUACUGGGCGUAAAGCGCAUGCAGGUGGUUUGUUAAGUCAGAUGUGAAAGCCCGGGGCUCAACCUCGGAAUUGCAUUUGAAACUGGCAAACUAGAGUACUGUAGAGGGGGUAGAAGUUUCAGGUGUAGCGGUGAAAUGCGUAGAGAUCUGAAGGAAUACCGGUGGCGAAGGCGGCCCCCUGGACAGAUACUGACACUCAGAUGCGAAAGCGUGGGGAGCAAACAGGAUUAGAUACCCUGGUAG
This 335-nucleotide ribosomal RNA is filed under the name uncultured bacterium. Its description in RNAcentral is "bacterial SSU rRNA". It matches the Rfam family "Bacterial small subunit ribosomal RNA", at positions 460 to 793 of the family's 1533-position model. The record is from RNAcentral.